RNAcentral lists this unclassified non-coding RNA (400 nucleotides) under soil metagenome. RNAcentral's name for it is "partial contains 5.8S ribosomal RNA, internal transcribed spacer 2, and large subunit ribosomal RNA". The stretch from base 1 to 122 matches the Rfam family "5.8S ribosomal RNA", at positions 35 to 154 of the family's 154-position model. The record is from RNAcentral.
GAUGAAGAACGCAGCGAAAUGCGAUACUUGGUGUGAAUUGCAGAAUCCCGUGAACCAUCGAGUCUUUGAACGCAAGUUGCGCCUCAAGCCAUUAGGUUGAGGGCACGUCUGCCUGGGCGUCACAUAUCGUUGCCUGAUGCCAGUUUCCUCGUGAUGGGUGACUGUGCAGGGCGAAUGAUGGCUUCCCGUGAGCAUUGUUGCCUCAUGGUUGGUUGAAAAUUGAGUCCUUGGUAGGGAGCGCCGUGAUAGAUGGUGGUUGAGUGACGAACGAGACCCAAUCAUGUGAGACCCCUACCGAAUUUGGCCUUCAUGACCCACAUGCGUCUUUGGAACGCUCAUGACGAGACCUCAGGUCAGGAGGGGCUACCCGCUGAGUUUAAGCAUAUCAAUAAGCGGAGGA